Molecule: ribosomal RNA, 527 nt
Filed under: uncultured bacterium
Lineage: Bacteria
Description: bacterial SSU rRNA
Rfam family: Bacterial small subunit ribosomal RNA
Source: RNAcentral
AAUAGAUACCCCGGUAGUCCAUGCCGUAAACGUUGGGCGCUAGAUGUGGGGACCAUUCCCACGGUUUCCGUGUCGCAGCUAACGCAUUAAGCGCCCCGCCUGGGGAAUACGGCCGCAAGGCUAAAACUCAAAGGAAUUGACGGGGGCCCGCACAAGCGGCGGAGCAUGCGGAUUAAUUCGAUGCAACGCGAAGAACCUUACCAAGGCUUGACAUAUACGAGAACGCUCUAGAAAUAGAGAACUCUUUGGACACUCGUAUACAGGUGGUGCAUGGUUGUCGUCAGCUCGUGUCGUGAGAUGUUGGGUUAAGUCCCGCAACGAGCGCAACCCUCGUUCUAUGUUGCCAGCGGUUCGGCCGGGAACUCAUAGGAGACUGCCGGGGUCAACUCGGAGGAAGGUGGGGAUGACGUCAAAUCAUCAUGCCCCUUAUGUCUUGGGCUUCACGCAUGCUACAAUGGCCGGUACAAAGGGCUGCAAUCCGUAAGGUGGAGCGAAUCCAAAAAGCCGGUCUCAGUUCGGAUUGAGGU